ACGGAGUAGCAAUACAACUGGUGGCGACCGGCGCGACGGUGAGUAACGCGUAUGCAACCACCUAUCAGAGGGGAAUAACCCGGCGAAAGUCGGACUAAUACCGCAUAAAACAGGGGCACCGCAUGGUGAUAUUUGUUAAAGAGAUUCGCUGAUAGAUGGGCAUGCGUUCCAUUAGGUAGUUGGUGAGGUAACGGCUCACCAAGCCGACGAUGGAUAGGGAACUGAGAGGUUGGUCCCCCACACUGGUACUGAGACACGGACCAGACUCCUACGGGAGGCAGCAGUGAGGAAUAUUGGUCAAUGGGCGGGAGCCUGAACCAGCCAAGUCGCGUGAAGGAAGAAGGAUCUAUGGUUCGUAAACUUCUUUUGCAGGGGAAUAAAGUGCAGGACGUGUCCUGUUUUGUAUGUACCCUGAGAAUAAGGAUCGGCUAACUCCGUGCCAGCCGCCGC
RNAcentral lists this ribosomal RNA (450 nucleotides) under uncultured bacterium. RNAcentral describes it as "bacterial SSU rRNA". It matches the Rfam family "Bacterial small subunit ribosomal RNA", at positions 71 to 518 of the family's 1533-position model. The record is from RNAcentral.